CCAGACUCCUACGGGAGGCAGCAGUGGGGAAUAUUGGACAAUGGGGGGAACCCUGAUCCAGCGACGCCGCGUGAGUGAAGAAGUAUUUCGGUAUGUAAAGCUCUAUCAGCAGGGAAGAAAGAAAUGACGGUACCUGACUAAGAAGCCCCGGCUAACUACGUGCCAGCAGCCGCGGUAAUACGUAGGGGGCAAGCGUUAUCCGGAUUUACUGGGCGUAAAGGGAACGUAGACGGCUGUGUAAGCCAGAUGUGAAAGCCCGGGGCUCAACCCCGGGACUGCAUUUGGAACUGCGUGGCUUGAGUGUCGGAGAGGCAGGCGGAAUUCCUAGUGUAGCGGUGAAAUGCGUAGAUAUUAGGAGGAACACCAGUGGCGAAGGCGGCCUGCUGGACGAUGACUGACGUUGAGGCUCGAAAGCGUGGGGAGCAAACAGGAUUAGAUACCCGUGUA
This 447-nucleotide ribosomal RNA is filed under the name uncultured bacterium. RNAcentral describes it as "bacterial SSU rRNA". It matches the Rfam family "Bacterial small subunit ribosomal RNA", at positions 331 to 792 of the family's 1533-position model. The record is from RNAcentral.